This 252-nucleotide ribosomal RNA is filed under the name uncultured Hydrogenophaga sp. RNAcentral describes it as "partial 16S ribosomal RNA". It matches the Rfam family "Bacterial small subunit ribosomal RNA", at positions 526 to 777 of the family's 1533-position model. The record is from RNAcentral. Lineage: Bacteria; Pseudomonadati; Pseudomonadota; Betaproteobacteria; Burkholderiales; Comamonadaceae.
CGUAGGGUGCAAGCGUUAAUCGGAAUUACUGGGCGUAAAGCGUGCGCAGGCGGUUUUGUAAGACAGGCGUGAAAUCCCCGGGCUUAACCUGGGAAUUGCGUUUGUGACUGCAAGGCUGGAGUGCGGCAGAGGGGGAUGGAAUUCCGCGUGUAGCAGUGAAAUGCGUAGAUAUGCGGAGGAACACCGAUGGCGAAGGCAAUCCCCUGGGCCUGCACUGACGCUCAUGCACGAAAGCGUGGGGAGCAAACAGGA